GACGAACGCUGGCGGCGUGCUUAAUACAUGCAAGUCGAACGGAAAGGCCCUGCUCUUGUGGGUCUCUCGAGUGCGGAACGGGGGAGAGAAACGUGAGUAACCUGCCCUUGACUUUGUGAGAACACCACGAAACUGGGGCUAAUACCGGGUAGGAGCUCCUGCUGCGUGGUGGGGGUUGGAAAGUUACGGUGGUGGGGGAUGGUCUCGCGGCUUACGCGCUGCUUGGGGGGGUAGUGGCUGACCAGGGCUUUGACGGGUAGCCGGCCUGAGAGGGUGACCGGCCUCAUUAGUCCUGAGAUACGCCCCAGACUCCUAUGGGAGGCAGCGGUGGGGAAUAUUACGCAGCAGGCCCGCGUCUGUUGCAGCGACCCCGCGUGCGGAAUGACGUCCUUCGGGUUGUGAACAGCUUUCGCCUUUGCCGUAGCCUUAGUGACGGUACUUAGUAAAGAAGCACCGGCUAACUACGUG
Molecule: ribosomal RNA, 468 nt
Filed under: uncultured bacterium
Lineage: Bacteria
Description: partial 16S ribosomal RNA
Rfam family: Bacterial small subunit ribosomal RNA
Source: RNAcentral